GAUGAACGCUCGCUACAGGCUUAACACAUGCAAGUCGCAGGGUAACAUGAGGAAAGCUUGCUUUCCUUGAUGACGACUGGCGCACGGGUGAGUAACGCGUAUCCAACCUUCCCAUAACUACGGGAUAACCCGUUGAAAGACGGCCUAAUACCGUAUGAUAUCGUUUGCUGACAUCAAAUAACGAUUAAAGGUUUAGCGGUUAUGGAUGGGGAUGCGUCUGAUUAGCUUGUUGGCGGGGUAACGGCCCACCAAGGCGACGAUCAGUAGGGGUUCUGAGAGGAAGGUCCCCCACAUUGGAACUGAGACACGGUCCAAACGCCUACGGGAGGCAGCAGUGAGGAAUAUUGGUCAAUGGGCGAGAGCCUGAACCAGCCAAGUAGCGUGCAGGACGACGGCCCUAUGGGUUGUAAACUGCUUUUAUGUGGGGAUAAAGUGCGUGACGUGUCAUGCAUUGCAGGUACCACAUGAAUAAGGACCGGCUAAUUCCGUG
Molecule: ribosomal RNA, 490 nt
Filed under: uncultured bacterium
Lineage: Bacteria
Description: partial 16S ribosomal RNA
Rfam family: Bacterial small subunit ribosomal RNA
Source: RNAcentral